ACGAACGCUGGCGGCGUGCCUAAUACAUGCAAGUAGCACGCUGAAGAGAGGAGCUUGCUCUUCUUGGAUGAGUUGCGAACGGGUGAGUAACGCGUAGGUAACCUGCCUUGUAGCGGGGGAUAACUAUUGGAAACGAUAGCUAAUACCGCAUAACAAUGGAUGACACAUGUCAUUUAUUUGAAAGGGGCAAUUGCUCCACUACAAGAUGGACCUGCGUUGUAUUAGCUAGUAGGUGAGGUAAUGGCUCACCUAGGCGACGAUACAUAGCCGACCUGAGAGGGUGAUCGGCCACACUGGGACUGAGACACGGCCCAGACUCCUACGGGAGGCAGCAGUAGGGAAUCUUCGGCAAUGGGGGCAACCCUGACCGAGCAACGCCGCGUGAGUGAAGAAGAUUUUCGGAUCGUAAAGCUCUGUUGUAAGUCAAGAACGGGUGUGAGAGUGGAAAGUUCACACUGUGACGGUAGCUUACCAGAAAGGGACGGCUAACUACGUG
RNAcentral lists this ribosomal RNA (496 nucleotides) under uncultured bacterium. RNAcentral describes it as "partial 16S ribosomal RNA". It matches the Rfam family "Bacterial small subunit ribosomal RNA", at positions 29 to 507 of the family's 1533-position model. The record is from RNAcentral.